This 506-nucleotide ribosomal RNA is filed under the name uncultured bacterium. Its description in RNAcentral is "partial 16S ribosomal RNA". It matches the Rfam family "Bacterial small subunit ribosomal RNA", at positions 29 to 523 of the family's 1533-position model. The record is from RNAcentral.
AUUGAACGCUGGCGGCAGGCCUAACACAUGCAAGUCGGACGGUAGCACAGAGGAGCUUGCUCCUUGGGUGACGAGUGGCGGACGGGUGAGUAAUGUCUGGGGAUCUGCCCGAUAGCGGGGGAUAACCACUGGAAACGGUGGCUAAUACCGCAUAACGUCGCAAGACCAAAGAGGGGGACCCUCGGGCCUCGCACUAGCGGAUGAACCCAGAUGGGAUUAGCUAGUAGGCGGGGUAAUGGCCCACCUAGGCGACGAUCCCUAGCUGGUCUGAGAGGAUGACCAGCCACACUGGGACUGAGACACGGUCCAGACUCCUACGGGAGGCAGCAGUGGGGAAUAUUGCACAAUGGGCGCAAGCCUGAUGCAGCCAUGCCGCGUGUAUGAAGAAGGCCUUCGGGUUGUAAAGUACUUUCAGCGGGGAGGAAGGCGGUGAGGUUAAUAACCUCGCCGAUUGACGUUACCCGCAGAAGAAGCACCGGCUAACUCCGUGCCAGCAGCCGCGGUAA